GUUCGAUGGCCUUGGAUGGGUUUGAAUUCAGUCCACGUUUUUUAUUUUUAUUCGUGACUAGAUCCACACUCAUCCAAGGAAAUCGAGC
Apis mellifera (honey bee) is the source of this 88-nucleotide non-coding RNA. NCBI's taxonomy places the organism in Eukaryota, Metazoa, Arthropoda, Insecta, Hymenoptera, Apidae. The record is from Rfam.